RNAcentral lists this unclassified non-coding RNA (227 nucleotides) under Hevea brasiliensis (rubber tree). Lineage: Eukaryota; Viridiplantae; Streptophyta; Magnoliopsida; Malpighiales; Euphorbiaceae. The record is from RNAcentral.
GCUUUUCAAUGGCGAAUUCCAAAGGGCCAUGUACCAUGAGAAAUAUGAUGUACAAUGGGAAGAGCUCUUUACUUCCACCGAAAAGCCCCUUUCCUAGUAUGGCCCCAUCAUAUGUCGAUUAUGUUCCUAGUUCUGCUUUCAACCAAAAGGGCAUUCAGAAACCCAGAGAAGGAAAUUCACACCAUCAGCGUACUUCCUCUGAAAGCUGUAUUAUAGAGGAGCAACCG